AGUGAACGCUGGCGGUAGGCCUAACACAUGCAAGUCGAACGGCAGCACAGUAAGAGCUUGCUCUUACGGGUGGCGAGUGGCGGACGGGUGAGGAAUACAUCGGAAUCUACUUUUUCGUGGGGGAUAACGUAGGGAAACUUACGCUAAUACCGCAUACGACCUACGGGUGAAAGCAGGGGAUCUUCGGACCUUGCGCGAUUGAAUGAGCCGAUGUCGGAUUAGCCAGUUGGCGGGGUAAAGGCCCACCAAGGCGACGAUCCGUAGCUGGUCUGAGAGGAUGAUCAGCCACACUGGAACUGAGACACGGUCCAGACUCCUACGGGAGGCAGCAGUGGGGAAUAUUGGACAAUGGGCGCAAGCCUGAUCCAGCCAUACCGCGUGGGUGAAGAAGGCCUUCGGGUUGUAAAGCCCUUUUGUUGGGAAAGAAAAGCAGCAGGUUAAUACCCCGCUGUUCUGACGGUACCCAAAGAACAAGCACCGGCUAACUUCGUG
Molecule: ribosomal RNA, 492 nt
Filed under: uncultured bacterium
Lineage: Bacteria
Description: partial 16S ribosomal RNA
Rfam family: Bacterial small subunit ribosomal RNA
Source: RNAcentral